Molecule: ribosomal RNA, 109 nt
Filed under: uncultured bacterium
Lineage: Bacteria
Description: partial 16S ribosomal RNA
Rfam family: Bacterial small subunit ribosomal RNA
Source: RNAcentral
CCGAUGUGAAAUCCCUGGGCUCAACCUGGGAACUGCAUUGGAUACUGCANGACUAGAGUGUGGUAGAGGGUAANGGAAUUCCUGGUGUAGCAGUGAAAUGCGUAGAUAU